AUGGCGUCGCUGCUCCGCCUCCAGGCCCUCUCCCUGACGCUAACCUCUCCCCGCCGCCUCCCCUCCCGUAUCCUCCGUUCCGUGUCCCCGGUGUCUCCGCUCGCUCGCCGCCUCUCCGCCGCCGCCUCCCCGGAGCAGCGGGCCUCGGAAACGGAUUUGGAGUCAGGAUUGUAUCUAGUGGCGACACCCAUCGGGAACCUCGAAGAUAUCACCUUGAGGGCAUUGCGUGUUCUUAAAUGUGCUCAUGUGAUACUCUCUGAAGACACAAGGCAUUCGGGAAAGUUGCUUCAACAUUACAAUAUCAAGACACCUCUUCUCAGCUUCCAUAAGUUCAACGAGCGUGAGAGAGAGCCCAGUAUCUUGAAGAGGCUCCAUGAAGGGGAAGCAGUUGCAGUGAUUAGUGAUGCUGGUACCCCAGGCAUCAGUGACCCUGGCAUGGAACUGGCUAGAGUAUGUGCCAGUGAAAAGAUCCCUGUUAUUCCCAUUCCUGGGCCUUCUGCCGCAAUCGCUGCUCUUUCUGCAUCGGGUUUGCCAACUGAUGAAUUCACAUUUGUGGGUUUUUUACCAAAGCAUGGUCGAUCAAGAAAAGUCAGGCUUGAGGUAUCUGCUCGUGAAGGUGCUACACAAAUAUUCUAUGUUCCUCCUCAUGGAAUUCAUCAAUUUCUUUCUGAUGCUGCUUCGUCUUUUGGUGAUUCAAGGCCAUGUGUUAUUGCAAGGGAGAUAACCAAAUUGCAUGAAGAGUUUUGGCGAGGAACUCUAGGUGAAGCAAAUGAAGCCUUCGCAACUCGACAGCCGAAAGGGGAAAUCACUUUGCUCAUAGAGGGAAACUCAAUUUCAGCUGAUGAAACUCCAUCUGAUGAUUUCCUUGAGCAUGAACUCAAAGAAAUGAUGGCAGAGGGGCAUGCUCUUUCAUCGGCGGUUAAAUUGGUGGCUGAAGCUACAUCGGCAAAGAAGAAAGAUGUUUAUGCACUAGCACUUAGGUUGUUUGGAAAAUGAGUAAAAGUGCAAUCCGUUUGCUUGUUCUGGUAAUUAAACUAUUUGUUCAUGCCAACAUCUUUACCAUGGUACUUUCUAGACCAUAUUCCAAACACCAAAAAACACCAUACACCAUAAUUCACCUGAGCUGCUCCUGCUAGCUUGUGCGCGCCAACUUACCGAGCAUACAAGGUUUUCUUUCUUGACGAUCUAAUCAUGCAAUCUACUGUUUCCCCAGUCUUGAAUAAUUUUCCAUGCUAUAUCGUGUUUAUCUGUCGAGGCGCUAGUAAUUGAAUUGGAUGUAAUUUUGGAUAAGGAGCUCCGUGUGGGGCAGUUCAAAUGCCUAUGACCUACCUACUGGUCCAUUUAGUCAUUUGGUUAAGCAGUAUUGGUAACAAUUCGGAAGCAGAUCAGAAGCAGUAUGGGUAACAAUUUGGAAGCAAUCAGAAGUAGCCAGCAUCAAUUAAUUUGGGCCAGAGGGAGUACUAGAUUUUUCACGUGAAGUUGCUGAGUAGAUGUAUUUUAAGGUGCGGCUCUUGCCCGUAGUUUGAGCUAUUUUCCAUUGGGUCGCUUUGAGUAGAGGUCUUUAUUUCGCUGCUUUGGUUGUGUAACAAAACUCUGUUAUUGUUUGCAUGUCAUCUAAACAAACCUGAUGGAGCUAUAUGUAUGUCCUGAAUAUC
Molecule: RNA transcript, 1655 nt
Organism: Lolium rigidum
Lineage: Eukaryota; Viridiplantae; Streptophyta; Magnoliopsida; Poales; Poaceae
Gene name: ribosomal RNA small subunit methyltransferase I-like
Exons: 10
Source: RefSeq, a predicted model, not a curated record